GACAGAGGAUGCAAGCGUUAUCCGGAAUGAUUGGGCGUAAAGCGUCUGUAGGUGGUUUGACAAGUCUUCUGUCAAAGAUCAGGGCUUAACCCUGGGCAGGCAGGAGAAACUAUUAGGCUAGAGUUCGGUAGGGGCAGAGGGAAUUCCCGGUGGAGCGGUGAAAUGCGUAGAGAGUCGGGAGGACACCAAAGGCGAAAGCACUCUGCUGGCCGCGACUGACACUGGAGAGACGAAAGCGAGGGAGCAAAUGGG
RNAcentral lists this ribosomal RNA (252 nucleotides) under uncultured bacterium. Its description in RNAcentral is "partial 16S ribosomal RNA". It matches the Rfam family "Bacterial small subunit ribosomal RNA", at positions 524 to 776 of the family's 1533-position model. The record is from RNAcentral.